Octopus bimaculoides (California two-spot octopus) is the source of this 271-nucleotide long non-coding RNA. Lineage: Eukaryota; Metazoa; Mollusca; Cephalopoda; Octopoda; Octopodidae. The record is from RefSeq and is a predicted model, not a curated record.
UUGGAAAGAAAGACGUUGAACGGUUGAACAACCAGACAGUUAAAGAGUUAGAAGCGAGCAUCUUUUACAUGGCGGCGUUUCAUUAUUUCGAAAGAAGUGAUAUGGCUUUGCCUGGCGUUGCUAAAUUCUUCCAUAAAAUGUCCUCUGAAGAGAAAGGUCACGCCGAUAAACUGAUGACCUACAUGAACAUGAGGCAAUCUCCACCUAAAACCCCAUCUGUUACGACUUGCGAAGAUUUAAAAACUAGCCUUAAGUCAGUAAGUAUUUAAAC